AGAAAUUAAAAAAAGGAACACGGGAGAAAACCUGAAUCCAUGCUAAAAAUUGAGAAAGGAUUCUUUUGUAUGGGUUCUGAAUGAUUCUGAUGAAACCAGAUGGAAAGAUAAUGCCUAGAGACAACACUGAUGAGCCUCUAAUGAAAAAAAAGCUCAUGGGUUGCAGAGGACAGAAGACGAAGCUCACCUGUGAUGCACAGUCUCAUGGAAAACUGGCCAAAUAACAAGAUCAUAUGGGAACACACAACAAUGCAGCAGAUUGGACCCAUUGUUUCUGUAUAUUACAUCAUUGCCGUUCUUAAGUGAAUACAAAAAGGAGCACACUAGAUCCCAUUGAAUACUUUGCCAACUUGGCUACUCUACAUUAAUGCGUCAUUUAAUUCGUACAAAGCCACUAUGAUGAAGGUAUUAUUAUCCUCAUUAAUGUGAGACUCAGAGAAUCAAAUACACCCGCUGGGCUGGGAUGCAAACCUGGGUAUAUUUGGUGCCUAGUGGAGAGUGGACAUGGGGUCAACAAGAAUCACAAAAAACGGGUUGUGCAUAGCGACUACAUAAACAAAUGUGUGUUUUUAAUAAAUGGUUUUUAAUGGAAGUUAAU
Molecule: long non-coding RNA, 598 nt
Filed under: Homo sapiens (human)
Lineage: Eukaryota; Metazoa; Chordata; Mammalia; Primates; Hominidae
Description: HSALNT0153985
Source: RNAcentral